GCCAAUGAUUUCCCAUUCGUUUUGGCAAAAGGCCCUUCUUGUGGGCGUCCGGACAAGCACGAUGUCCUUCUUGACAAUGAAAUUUUGCUGCGGGGAGUAUUGACUCGCAAACACUUGGAAUUUCAUCUUUAGGAGAUGGGAAAGCUGCGCUUUGCCUCUCAGCCGCAUUUGGCCCGUUGGGACAACACUCUGGGUUGACACAUCUUCCUGCCUCAGCUUCCGUGGAUGUGCGGGAUCCAGGAGGCCGAGACCCCCUCCUGCCUCUCCAGAGACUGCGUCAUGAGGAUGAGAGGCGGGAUUUCUCUCAGUGAGAAAUGCUUGAGAGAAGCCAGUGGUGGUCUUUAACCGUUAUACAUUGUAAGUGUCAUGGCCAAGUUCGCAGGACCAGUCUGGAGCUCCAGUGACAAAAUGUCUGAGGGUUUCCCGUUCCUCCUUCUUGCUUGGAAGUGGCAUCCAGGGUCUCUGGUAAGGGGUGUUUUGGGUGAGGAUGGUGGUUUUGUUCCCCAUCGAGACAGUUUUAAGGGAUGGGAUUUCCACUCCUUUGUUCCUUCCGUCCCCUACCCUUGAGCCAAGGAGCCUUCCUCUGCACACUUGUCCUCAUCUCUUGUUCUGUGUCUUUGGAACGCUAAUGAGAAAUAGA
Long non-coding RNA from Zalophus californianus (California sea lion), 640 nucleotides. RefSeq lists it as uncharacterized. NCBI's taxonomy places the organism in Eukaryota, Metazoa, Chordata, Mammalia, Carnivora, Otariidae. The record is from RefSeq and is a predicted model, not a curated record. The transcript has 3 exons.